UAGCAAAUCAGCUUUUCAGAGGCACAAGCAAUGGCUGCAACAUGCUAAAACACGUAGUGCCAGACACAAAAUUGUGAAAGUAGGUUUAGUUAAAUAGAUUGAAGAUACAUUAUUCUCAAAACUUUUGUAAUUGCUCUCAGGACUAAAAAUAUAAAGAAAAUUUAUCAUAUACAGUUCUUAAGGGAGCAAGCUGCACUAUCUGCUGCCGAAAUAACAGCAGAUACAAUAAAUGACUUUAUAGCUGAUUCUG
This 250-nucleotide unclassified non-coding RNA is filed under the name Hevea brasiliensis (rubber tree). The record is from RNAcentral. Lineage: Eukaryota; Viridiplantae; Streptophyta; Magnoliopsida; Malpighiales; Euphorbiaceae.